AGAGUUUGAUCCUGGCUCAGGACGAACGCUGGCGGCGUGCUUAACACAUGCAAGUCGAACGAGGAUGUUGACUUCGGUUGACAUUCGAGUGGCGGACGGGUGAGUAACGCGUGAGCAAUCUGUCCUACAGAGGGGGAUAACAACUGGAAACAGUUGCUAAUACCGCAUAAGACCACGAGGCCGCAUGGCCAUGAGGUAAAAGGAGCAAUCCGCUGUAGGGUGAGCUCGCGUCCGAUUAGAUAGUUGGUGAGGUAACGGCCCACCAAGUCUGCGAUCGGUAGCCGACCUGAGAGGGUGACCGGCCACAUUGGGACUGAGACACGGCCCAGACUCCUACGGGAGGCAGCAGUGGGGAAUAUUGGGCAAUGGGGGAAACCCUGACCCAGCAACGCCGCGUGAGGGAAGAAGGUUUUCGGAUUGUAAACCUUCUGUCCUUGGUGACGAAAAGAAUGACGGUAGCCAAGGAGGAAGCCCCGGGCUAACUACGUGCCAGCAGCCGCGGU
This 503-nucleotide ribosomal RNA is filed under the name uncultured bacterium. Its description in RNAcentral is "bacterial SSU rRNA". It matches the Rfam family "Bacterial small subunit ribosomal RNA", at positions 8 to 521 of the family's 1533-position model. The record is from RNAcentral.